RNAcentral lists this ribosomal RNA (329 nucleotides) under uncultured bacterium. RNAcentral describes it as "bacterial SSU rRNA". It matches the Rfam family "Bacterial small subunit ribosomal RNA", at positions 32 to 352 of the family's 1533-position model. The record is from RNAcentral.
AUCAACGCUGGCGGCGUGCCUCAGACAUGCAAGUCGAACGAUUAAAGCUCGUCUUCGGAGAGUGUAUAGAGUGGCGCACGGGUGAGUAACACGUAAGUAAUCUACCUUCGAGUGGGGAAUAACGUCCGGAAACGGACGCUAAUACCGCAUAAUGCAGCGGCAUCGCAAGAUGACAGUUGUUAAGGAGCAAUUCGCUUGAAGAGGAGCUUGCGGCAGAUUAGCUAGUUGGUAAGGUAAUGGCUUACCAAGGCUACGAUCUGUAACCGGUCUAAGAGGACGGUCGGUCACACUGACACUGAAUAACGGGUCAGACUCCUACGGGAGGCAGC